RNAcentral lists this ribosomal RNA (253 nucleotides) under uncultured bacterium. Its description in RNAcentral is "partial 16S ribosomal RNA". It matches the Rfam family "Bacterial small subunit ribosomal RNA", at positions 524 to 776 of the family's 1533-position model. The record is from RNAcentral.
UACGAAGGGGGCUAGCGUUGCUCGGAAUUACUGGGCGUAAAGGGCGCGUAGGCGGAUGUCUAAGUUGGGGGUGAAAUCCCGGGGCUCAACCUCGGAACCGCCUUCAAUACUGGAUAUCUUGAGUUCGGGAGAGGUGAGUGGAAUGCCGAGUGUAGAGGUGAAAUUCGUAGAUAUUGGGAAGAACACCGGUGGCGAAGGCGGCUCACUGGCUCGUAACUGACGCUCAUGCACGACAGCGUGGGGAUCAAACAGG